RNAcentral lists this long non-coding RNA (548 nucleotides) under Setaria viridis. RNAcentral's name for it is "long non-coding RNA (SVIR_LNC004811)". The record is from RNAcentral. Lineage: Eukaryota; Viridiplantae; Streptophyta; Magnoliopsida; Poales; Poaceae.
GUGAUGUCCAUCGAGUAAGAUCUCAAGUCUUAAACCCCAGCAUUAAAGCCAAACCCAUUGGAACUUGUCAGAGCUCCACCCGCCAUAGGGUAGGGCCCCAGGAUAAAGCCGAGCUCGUUGUACAUGUUUCCUUAACCCUAAAAUCCAUCCACAUCACCCAGCAUCCACAUCAUAUUUAGGGUCAAUUUCAAAACCCAACCGUUAUGCUGCCCAACUCAAACCUAAUAUAUCAACCAAACCUAGCCAUUAUAAUGCGUAACCAAAAUCCCAAAUAUCAUCCAAAUCCUAGCUGAAAUGCUACCCAAUCAAAACCGUAGAUAUCAAUAAAACCUAGUCGCUAUGCUGCCCGUCCAGAACCCUAGGAAAUCCAUUAGUAAAUUUCUUAGAAAUUCUUUUAAAAAUCCAUUCUUGAUUCUUUUAGAAAUUCAACAAUUCUAUCCAUUAAUUAUUUAGAAAUUUAUUUCUAAAUAAUUAAUAAACCAUUCAUCGUUUACACGGGAGUUAUCCAAAGAAAUCUGAUAAUUCCCAAAAUGUCCAUCAAACCGUCC